GGACCCGCACAAGUAGUGGAGCAUGUGGUUUAAUUCGAAGAUACGCGCAGAACCUUACCAACACUUGACAUGUUCGUCGCGACUUUAAGAGAUUAAAGUUUUCGGUUCGGCCGGACGAAACACAGGUGCUGCAUGGCUGUCGUCAGCUCGUGUCGUGAGAUGUUGGGUUAAGUCCCGCAACGAGCGCAACCCUCACUUUUAGUUGCCAUCAUUUAGUUGGGCACUCUGAAAGAACUGCCAGUGAUAAGCUGGAGGAAGGUGGGGAUGACGUCAAGUCCUCAUGGCCCUUACGUGUUGGGCUACACACGUGCUACAAUGGCAUCUACAACAGGAAGCAAGACAGCGAAGUUAAGCAAAUCCCUAAAAGAUACCUCAGUUCGGAUUGCACUCUGCAACUCGAGUGCAUGAAGCUGGAAUU
RNAcentral lists this ribosomal RNA (418 nucleotides) under uncultured bacterium. RNAcentral describes it as "bacterial SSU rRNA". It matches the Rfam family "Bacterial small subunit ribosomal RNA", at positions 917 to 1333 of the family's 1533-position model. The record is from RNAcentral.